Long non-coding RNA from Amphimedon queenslandica, 378 nucleotides. RefSeq lists it as uncharacterized. Lineage: Eukaryota; Metazoa; Porifera; Demospongiae; Haplosclerida; Niphatidae. The record is from RefSeq and is a predicted model, not a curated record. The transcript is spliced from 3 exons.
GAAUAAUAAAAAUGGCGCCUAUCGUGAAGCCUGUGCCUCGGCCUGUGCUCUUCAAUUUUGCAGCAAACGCUCAGCAGCCUCAGCAAGAUAAGACAAAACUGCUGUAUAAAAACUUCUCUAGCACUCUAGCAGCAGAAAGGGUCAUUACAGCACAACAAUAGCGUGGCUCAGGCGCUGAGCCCCUUUAAGCGUUUUGACAUUCAGUUCACUAGUAUUACUGAGGAAGAGGCUUUCAUGUACAACUGAUUGCCAUCUACUAAUGACAACUGGAUACUAUAUGUACAGGUCCUUACUAAGAACAAUGCUUAUCGUGUCUCUAACUGGACGACCCCAGUGAUCCUCAGUGUCCCUGGUGUAUCAUUCAGUGUAGCAGCUGCU